UUUUUUUUUUUUUUUUUAAUUGUUUUUUAAACUGAAGUGUAGUUGAUUUACAAUAUCAUGUUAGUUUCAAGUGCACAGCACAGCAAUUCAGUUGUUAUCCUUUAUGGAUUAUUAAAAAAUUUUGGGUAUAGUUCCCUUAUAGAUUCUUUUCCCUUAUACGUUCUUUUCCCAUAUAGGUUAUUACAAAAUAUUGAGUAUAGUUCCCCGUGCUAUACAGUAGGUCCUUGUUGGUUUUAGUGUGAUUUUAUAAGUAAGGAUUUACUCCAUCUCUUCUGCAAUUUAUUUUUGUGGUAUGAAUUGGUGACCUACCUCUUUUCCAAAUGGAUAACCAGUUGUCUCAACAUCAUUUAUUGAGGUGUCAAUUUUUCCCUAUUGAUUUUAUUUUUAUGUUCUAUUUAAAAGUUUUAUUGAAGUGUAGUUGAUUUACAACAUUGUUAAUCUCUACUGUGCAGCAAAGUGACUCAGUUGUACAUAUAUAUUCUUUUGCAUAUUCUUUUCCAUUAUGGUUUAUCACAAGAUAAUGAAAAUAGUUCCCUGUGCUAUACAGCAGGAUCUUUCUUGUGGUUUAUCCAUCCUUUUAUAUAUUUGCCUCUGCUAAUCCCAAACUGCCAAUCCUUUUUUCCCCUACCCCCCCAGCAACCACAAGUCUGUCCUCAAUAUCUCUGAGUCUAUUUCUGUUUUGAAGAUACGUUGUUUUGUGUCAUAUCCACAUAUAAGUGAUAUCAUAUAGUACUUGUAUUUCUCUGACUUACUUCACUUAAUAUGAUAAUUUCUAGGUCCAUCCAUGUUACUACAAAUGGCACUACUUCACUCUUUUUUUAUGGGUAAAUAGUAUUGCAUUGCACACAUGUAUCACAUUUUCUUUAUCCAUUUCUCUGUUGAUGGAUAUUUAGUUUGCUUCCAUGUCUUGGCUGCUGUAAAUAGUGCAGUAAUAAACAUUGGAGUGCAUGUAUCUUUUUGAAUUAUGGUUUUGUAUGGGUUCUAUUGAUUUUAUUUAUUAUUUAUUUGUCUUUUUAGGGCUGCACUCCUGGCAUAUGGAGAUUCUCGGGCUAGGUGUCAAAUUGGAGCUGUAGUCACUGGCCUACGCUACAGCCACCUGCACGCCAGAUCCAAGGUGCAUCUUUCACUUACCACAGCUCACGGCGUGGGUUAAGAAUUGGGUGUUGCUGUGAGCUAUGGUAUAGAUCACAGAUGAAGCUUGGAUCCCACUUUGCUGUGGCUGUGGCUGUGGCUGGCAGCUGCAGCUCCCAUUCGACCCCUAGCCUGGGAACCUCCAUAUGCUGAGGGAGCGGCCCAAGAAAUGGCAAAAAGACAAAAAAAAAAAAAAAAAAAAAAAAAAAAAAAAGAAAGGGAAAGAAGGCAAGCUUGCAGAUUUAAAACUUAAAUUCUGCUUUUGUUUUUUUGGGCCAGGAAUUGCUUGAUCUUGAAAGUCUUGUGAGAAACAGGGCAAGGAACAGUCAACCAUGCACACAUACCACGAUGUCAGAAAGAGGGAGAGAGAGCUGAAUUUUCUUUCCUUGACAGAUUUCCCAAUAUUGAGUGUCCAAGGGGUCCUGGCAAAAAUCUAAGGAGUAAAAACAACGCUGAAAGAAAUGACUUCCAAUGUAUCACUCAAGGUCAGAUUAUCAGCAAAGUAUCUCUAAGACUGAGUUACCCUCCAGAAAGAGAAUCCACUUCCCCUUGGGAAAGCAGAGUGUAUAAUCCUGUAUAGCUUUGCAUUAUUUCUCUGCAGCAAGGUUUUUUCAUGUAUGUUGCACCUCUGGCGUUGUGAGACCUGUGUGCACCUGUCAUUUCAAAGUGUUAAAUAAAAUUAUACAGU
This 1819-nucleotide long non-coding RNA is filed under the name Sus scrofa (pig). RNAcentral describes it as "lncRNA (ENSSSCG00060012079.1)". Lineage: Eukaryota; Metazoa; Chordata; Mammalia; Artiodactyla; Suidae. The record is from RNAcentral.